RNAcentral lists this unclassified non-coding RNA (387 nucleotides) under soil metagenome. RNAcentral's name for it is "partial contains 5.8S ribosomal RNA, internal transcribed spacer 2, and large subunit ribosomal RNA". The stretch from base 1 to 122 matches the Rfam family "5.8S ribosomal RNA", at positions 35 to 154 of the family's 154-position model. The record is from RNAcentral.
GAUGAAGAACGUAGCGAAAUGCGAUAAGUAAUGUGAAUUGCAGAAUUCAGUGAAUCAUCGAAUCUUUGAACGCACCUUGCACCCUUUGGACUGCUCCAAAGGGUAUGCUCGUUUGAGUGUCAUUGUACUCUCACACUCUCUGAUCCUUUGGAUUUGGGGAGCAGUGGACUUGGGUGCUUGCUGCUUCCUUGUGGCUCACCUGAAAUGCAUCAGUGCAUCUCUCGAUUGGACAUAGUACGGCGUGAUAAGUGUCUUCGCCGGCACCUCAUAUGAGGGUGGCCGAUUGGGAGCUCUGUGCUUUCAAACCGUCUUCGGACAACGCUGACAACUUGACCUCAAAUCGAGUAGGACUACCCGCUGAACUUAAGCAUAUCAAUAAGCGGAGGA